This 229-nucleotide unclassified non-coding RNA is filed under the name uncultured Xylaria. Its description in RNAcentral is "sequence contains ITS1". The record is from RNAcentral. Lineage: Eukaryota; Fungi; Ascomycota; Sordariomycetes; Xylariales; Xylariaceae.
AAGAGUUUUUACAACUCCAAACCCUGUGAACAUACCCUACGUUGCCUCGGCAGGUGCACCUACCCUGUAGGCCUUACCCUGUAAGAGCUACCCUGUGACACUUACCCUGUAGGUGUUACCCUGUAGCGCCUUACCUGGUGAGACCUACCCGGUAGAUGCGGUCAGCCUGCCGGUGGCCCCUAUAACUCUGUUUGGCAUUGUAUCUCUGAAUAUAGAAUUAAAUAAGUUA